Molecule: microRNA, 24 nt
Filed under: Panax ginseng (ginseng)
Lineage: Eukaryota; Viridiplantae; Streptophyta; Magnoliopsida; Apiales; Araliaceae
Description: pgi-miR6142
Source: miRBase by way of RNAcentral
GACGAUUUUUUGGGCUAUGACGAC